GCGAGGCCGCCACCCUCUCGGUCCCUUGCGAAAGCGGCCGCGGGGUGUGCGGAUGAACUGGAGCUUAAUGUCAAAUCCUGGCACAAGAUGUUCAAAAGAAAGACAUUGGCUCCAACUGAACUCUUAGAAGGCAGAUGCUAGGAUCUGCAGCCCGAGGACACGGGGUCUUGCUAUAUUGCACACACUGGUUUCCUGGACUUAAACAAUCCUCCGGCCUCAGCCUCUCAAAGUGCUGGGAUUACAAGCAUGAACCACCACACCCAGCCCAGAAGGAGAUUUUCAUUGAGUGAAUGAAAUUCCACAGUGAACACUUAUACUUCAUCCGUUGACUCUAGAUGACACUGAACCUCACGAUAGGAAACUUUCAGUGUGAGAUGGAUCAUCUCGUUUCAAAGAGCAAAGAACUGAUCCCUGAAAAGAUUGAGAGAAGAUAGAAAGGAAGAUGUAGCACAAAGUGAGAUGGAGUAUUAAUGAGUGGACCACCAGAUCUGCUUCGAAUGUUUUUCAACUUCUGGCUACUCAAGGUGAAGACGACAAGGAUGAAAACAUUUAUGGGGAUCCACUUCCAUUUAACGAAUACUUUAGACUUGGUACUUCAAACUGUUUGGGACAUUCCAGAGCCCACCUUCAUCCAAGCAG
Molecule: long non-coding RNA, 639 nt
Organism: Homo sapiens (human)
Lineage: Eukaryota; Metazoa; Chordata; Mammalia; Primates; Hominidae
Exons: 6
Source: RefSeq, a predicted model, not a curated record